GAUGAACGCUGGCGGCGUGCCUAAUACAUGCAAGUCGAGCGAACGGAUGAGGAGCUUGCUUCUCUGACGUUAGCGGCGGACGGGUGAGUAACACGUGGAUAACCUACCUAUAAGACUGGGAUAACUUCGGGAAACCGGAGCUAAUACCGGAUAAUAUAUUGAACCGCAUGGUUCAAUAGUGAAAGACGGUCUUGCUGUCACUUAUAGAUGGAUCCGCGCCGCAUUAGCUAGUUGGUAAGGUAACGGCUUACCAAGGCAACGAUGCGUAGCCGACCUGAGAGGGUGAUCGGCCACACUGGAACUGAGACACGGUCCAGACUCCUACGGGAGGCAGCAGUAGGGAAUCUUCCGCAAUGGGCGAAAGCCUGACGGAGCAACGCCGCGUGAGUGAUGAAGGUCUUCGGAUCGUAAAACUCUGUUAUUAGGGAAGAACAAAUGUGUAAGUAACUAUGCACGUCUUGACGGUACCUAAUCAGAAAGCCACGGCUAACUACGUG
This 497-nucleotide ribosomal RNA is filed under the name uncultured bacterium. RNAcentral describes it as "partial 16S ribosomal RNA". It matches the Rfam family "Bacterial small subunit ribosomal RNA", at positions 28 to 507 of the family's 1533-position model. The record is from RNAcentral.